UACGUAGGGUGCAAGCGUUGUCCGGAAUUAUUGGGCGUAAAGAGCUCGUAGGCGGUCUGUCGCGUCGGCUGUGAAAUCUCGGGGCUCAACCCCGAGCCUGCAGUCGAUACGGGCAGACUAGAGUGCUGUAGGGGAGACUGGAAUUCCUGGUGUAGCGGUGAAAUGCGCAGAUAUCAGGAGGAACACCGGUGGCGAAGGCGGGUCGCUGGGCAGCAACUGACGCUGAGGAGCGAAAGCGUGGGGAGCGAACAGG
RNAcentral lists this ribosomal RNA (253 nucleotides) under uncultured bacterium. RNAcentral's name for it is "partial 16S ribosomal RNA". It matches the Rfam family "Bacterial small subunit ribosomal RNA", at positions 524 to 776 of the family's 1533-position model. The record is from RNAcentral.